AGCGCAGACGGUUAUUUAAGCAAGAUGUGAAAGCCCCGGGCUCAACCUGGGAACUGCGUUUUGAACUGGGUAACUAGAGUGUGUCAGAGGGGGGUAGAAUUCCACGUGUAGCAGUGAAAUGCGUAGAGAUGUGGAGGAAUACCGAUGGCGAAGGCAGCCCCCUGGGAUAACACUGACGUUCAUGCUCGAAAGCGUGGGUAGCAAACA
Molecule: ribosomal RNA, 207 nt
Filed under: uncultured bacterium
Lineage: Bacteria
Description: partial 16S ribosomal RNA
Rfam family: Bacterial small subunit ribosomal RNA
Source: RNAcentral